Molecule: long non-coding RNA, 302 nt
Organism: Chelonia mydas (Green sea turtle)
Lineage: Eukaryota; Metazoa; Chordata; Testudines; Cheloniidae
Exons: 3
Source: RefSeq, a predicted model, not a curated record
GGGGCCAAUAACAACUGGCUGCCUAUUAGGGGAAACUGCUGCUGCAAACAAAUAAUACUCUGUGCAACUGCUCGCAGCGUUUGAAACACUGGCUUACAUUAAUCACAGUGAGAGGGAGAAACAGUUCAUUAAAGCUACUGGAAACAACUACUGGAAUAAUAAUGACUGAGUUAGCAGAGUUCAUCACUAGGACUACUCCAUUUGAUCAGCUUUGCUCCCACUGGUUGGGAAGCUGAGUGGAAUAUUCAGUGACACAACCUAAAUUUCACCAGAGAAAGCUAAAGAGAACUGCAAGAUGCUCC